CCUACGGGGGGCUGCAGUGGGGAAUAAUGGACAAUGGGCGAAAGCCUGAUCCAGCCAUGCCGCGUGUGUGAAGAAGGCCUUCGGGUUGUAAAGCACUUUCAGUGGGGAAGAAAGCCUUGGGGCUAAUACCCUCGAGGAAGGACAUCACCCACAGAAGAAGCACCGGCUAACUCCGUGCCAGCAGCCGCGGUAAUACGGAGGGUGCGAGCGUUAAUCGGAAUUACUGGGCGUAAAGCGCGCGUAGGCGGUCUGAUAAGCCGGUUGUGAAAGCCCCGGGCUCAACCUGGGAACGGCAUCCGGAACUGUCAGGCUAGAGUGCAGGAGAGGAAGGUAGAAUUCCCGGUGUAGCGGUGAAAUGCGUAGAGAUCGGGAGGAAUACCAGUGGCGAAGGCGGCCUUCUGGACUGACACUGACGCUGAGGUGCGAAAGCGUGGGUAGCAAACAGGAUUAGAUACCCGUGUAGUC
Molecule: ribosomal RNA, 465 nt
Filed under: Vreelandella stevensii
Lineage: Bacteria; Pseudomonadati; Pseudomonadota; Gammaproteobacteria; Oceanospirillales; Halomonadaceae
Description: partial 16S ribosomal RNA
Rfam family: Bacterial small subunit ribosomal RNA
Source: RNAcentral